Molecule: ribosomal RNA, 307 nt
Filed under: uncultured Polaribacter sp.
Lineage: Bacteria; Pseudomonadati; Bacteroidota; Flavobacteriia; Flavobacteriales; Flavobacteriaceae
Description: bacterial SSU rRNA
Rfam family: Bacterial small subunit ribosomal RNA
Source: RNAcentral
GAUGAACGCUAGCGGCAGGCUUAGCACAUGCAAGUCGAGGGGUAACAUUGUGCUUGCACAGAUGACGACCGGCGCACGGGUGCGUAACGCGUAUAGAACCUACCUUUUACAGAGGAAUAGCCUUUAGAAAUGAAGAUUAAUGCCUCAUAGUAUUGCGACUUGGCAUCGAGUUGUAAUUAAAGAUUUAUCGGUAAAAGAUGGCUAUGCGUCCUAUUAGUUAGUUGGUAAGGUAACGGCUUACCAAGACAGCGAUAGGUAGGGGUCCUGAGAGGGAGAUCCCCCACACUGGUACUGAGACACGGACCAG